Molecule: ribosomal RNA, 439 nt
Filed under: uncultured bacterium
Lineage: Bacteria
Description: partial 16S ribosomal RNA
Rfam family: Bacterial small subunit ribosomal RNA
Source: RNAcentral
CUACGGGUCGCAGCAGUGGGGAAUAUUGCACAAUGGACGAAAGUCUGAUGCAGCAACGCCGCGUGGAGGAUGACACAUUUCGGUGCGUAAACUCCUUUUAUAUAGGAAGAUAAUGACGGUACUAUAUGAAUAAGCACCGGCUAACUCCGUGCCAGCAGCCGCGGUAAUACGGAGGGUGCAAGCGUUACUCGGAAUCACUGGGCGUAAAGAGCGUGUAGGCGGGUAGUUAAGUCAGAAGUGAAAUCCAAUAGCUCAACUAUUGAACUGCUUUUGAAACUGAUUACCUAGAAUAUGGGAGAGGUAGAUGGAAUUUCUGGUGUAGGGGUAAAAUCCGUAGAGAUCAGAAGGAAUACCGAUUGCGAAGGCGAUCUACUGGAACAUUAUUGACGCUGAGACGCGAAAGCGUGGGGAGCAAACAGGAUUAGAUACCCCUGUAGUC